Molecule: long non-coding RNA, 801 nt
Filed under: Mus spicilegus (steppe mouse)
Lineage: Eukaryota; Metazoa; Chordata; Mammalia; Rodentia; Muridae
Description: lncRNA (ENSMSIG00000028108.1)
Source: RNAcentral
AUGACCAUGUCUCCCCACACUGGGCUGAGCACACUGUCCCAGAAAUUGGGAGGUUGUACGUGUGGAGGGUGUCAUCUUAUUGAUGAAGCCUGAACAUGAAUUACCCUGUCUCAUGUAACAGUGUGUAUGUUGGUAAAGGAAGACAAGUGACCUCAUUCAAAGUCAUCUACAUUCACUUUCACACAUAGAUGUGAUCCUGAGAACAGGACACACACACGCACAAGUGAAAACGUGUAAACAUGUAUAUAAGUACAGAAUUAGACUGGAGAGUACUGCCAUGGUGUUUUCUGUGAUAGUGGCAUAGAUGUUUGUUCCUCUAUGUGGAAGUCAUCUGAGUACAAGUAAAAAGAUUGCUAUAGCCAGGAACUGAAGUCCUCGGGGAAGGUGAGAGAUCAGUACCCCGGCUGCUUUUCCUACCUUUCCUAGACAAGCUCAGUAAUGGUCAAAUGUGGGCCUGCAAACAAACUCUUCAUCCUUCUUUACUUAGGCUGGAGGCUGGAGUCCAGGUCCAGGUCCAUCUGUCUGGCUUCAUUCUAAGGCCCUUCUGCCUGAUGAAGUUCACUGGUUCAACAGCAAACCUUCUUAAAGAGAACUCAUUGUUUACCUUUCUCCAAAGCAUCACGGGGCCAUCUCCCCAGCACAGGAGGCAGGAAGGAGAUCCUGUAACAACAGUCUCCCUGGAUGCAGAAGACGAUGAGCAUCAGCAACUCAGGCUUCUGGAAAUGAAGUCCCUUUCCAGGACACAUGUGAGUAUAAGGGAGAGGGGGCAGGAAGAGGAAAAAUGAAAGGUCGACCCAACGA